This 4243-nucleotide long non-coding RNA is filed under the name Homo sapiens (human). RNAcentral describes it as "HSALNT0341168". Lineage: Eukaryota; Metazoa; Chordata; Mammalia; Primates; Hominidae. The record is from RNAcentral.
CUGCCCUCUUUGGGCCUCUGUUUUCUUAUCCAAAAAAUGUAGGGAUGAUGAGACUGAGAGGGGCUAAUGAUGAGCUUCAAAGGAGAAAAGAACUUUGAGAGUGCUUGUGCCUGGCUCUUCCUGAGAUGAUGAGAACAAUGGUGACAGCUACAUAUAACUGAGUCCUCACAAGGCCCAGUGAGGUAGGUGGUUCCCAUCACACUUUCAAGUUGAGAAAACAGUCUCAGGGAGGCCUGGCUGCAUGCCCAAGGUUCCACAUACAGGGAGUGUUGGAGCAGGGAGUCAAUCUAGAAUCAGAACUUACUGGAGAUGACAGGAGCAUUGGACCAGCUUACUCACACCAGUUAUCCAGGAUACCAGUGGCAGGAGCAUCCCUGCGAGAGGCCUGACCCAGGUGUGUAGCCCAAGCAGCCAGCCCGGAAAUCCAAUGGGGUGUUCUUGGGGUGCAGAGGAUUUGUGACAGUCCAUACACAGAAAAAGGAAAAGGUGGCUUUGAAGAGGCAAGUGCAAAGAUACCAGAGAUGGGGUAUUGUCAUUUUAGGCAGUGAAUUGACGGUUUCACUUACCAGGGAGCUCCCAUCGUGAGCUCCCAAAAGGCCUAACAACUGCUAGGCCCACGGGUCAUUAGCUCCACCUUUACGGAGAAGCUGCACUAUGCAUGUCAGAAGCGGGGUAGGCAGGGAUGAGGGAAAGGACGGGAUAAGGAAAGAAAAGAUGUGCGCUGAGCUGAGCUGCGGGAGGGUAAACCUAACUACGUAACAAUGAGCAGGCUGUGAGAGGCUCCUUGCCCCUUGCAGAUUUGUGAAAAAUCAAACUUCCGCCCAAGAAGCCGGCAUUUCAGGUAGGGGCGAUGAUGUCACAAUCACAGGUUGAGAUCUGCUGCCCAGGCCAUGCUUGCUCCCCGCAGGCAGGCGAGAUUUCGGAACAGCCAGGACCUCCUCCGCAUGGGGGAACCGCUCUAGACGCUCAGAGGGGCGGAGUUGAAACGGACCUGACUGGCCAGUGUCUCAAAGACGUGGAUGGUGACCAGCUCUCUCCAGAACAGAUGGCGCUCCAGCUUUGUGGGAGAAACUUUCAAGAUGGAGUCUUGCUCUGUUGCCCAGGCUGGAAUGCAAUGAUGCAAUCUCAGCUCACUGCAACCUCCAUCUCCCAGAUUCAAGUGGUUCUCCUGCCUCAGCCUCCCAAGUAGUUGGGACUACAGGUGCUGCCUUCAGGAGGGAUUAUGACAUAUGCCUGGACCAAACACCUGGAUGACGUGACACUCCUGCAUGAGCCUUGCCCUAAGGGGAUAUUUUUACAUGUUGGUGAACUCAGCAUCUAGGUGAUGUGACUCUACUCUUCUGCCUGGGCCCUGCCCACAGAGGGCAUUGGAACAUUUCACUUGGCUCAGCACCAAGAAGAUGUUACUCUCCUACCUGGACCUCUCCCACAGGGGACACCUAGAUGAUAUGAUUUUUCUUCCUGGUUCCUGCCCAGACUUCAAAUUGUGAUGUAUAUCUGGGCCCAAAACACAGGUAAGGUAAUAACUCUCAUAGCUAGACCAAGACAAUAGAGAGAUUUUGACUUUUGUAGCUAGGCUUAGAACAAUGGGUACAUAUUCCUGGCCCAGCUCCCAGGUGAUAUGACCCUCCUACCUAGUUAGUGCUCACAGGUGUGAUUGUUACCUAUGUUUGGACUCAGUUCAUUGUGAGCAUUGUGAUCACUCAUACCUGGACCUAGCCACAAAAAAAUAUGUUGACUCUUAUACCUCAAAAUAGGAGACUCAACCCACAAGAGGUGUUGACUCUUACACCUUUUGCUGGAAAAUGUCCAGGAUUGUGAAUUUCUGCUAUUGAUUGGGUCCAGGUAUGAGUUUCAUUGCUGUGCCUGAGCUGAGUUCAAAAUAAGUCACUAUCUCACCUGUGGCUGCAUCUACAUAUGACAGUCACAAUUCCAAGUCUGGAUUGCAUUUGUGUAUGAGACUUAGGACCUCACCAGUAAGCACUGUCUAUGUGUGAGGGUGACAAUUCUAUCAGCUGGAAGUGCAUAUGAGAGUCACAAUGUCACCUUUGUUCUUGGUCCUGUUAUGACAUUGUAUCACUUGAAGGCUUUAUCCAGACCCAGGACCUUGCCUGUUGCCCUAAGCCUAGAUAUCAGAGUCAAAAUCUGUUCUCUUAGCUGGAUCCAGGUAUGAGAGUCAACAUCUCACCAGUGAGCUGUGACCAUGUAUAUGUCACAAUUUCACCUGUGGGCAGGAACCAGACAUGAGAGUCAUAUCACUUGGGUGCUGGGUAAGUGAUACAUUACAAUUCUUACUUUGGGCAGGGUCCAGGCAACAGAGGAGAGACACAUCACCUAUAUGAUUGGCCCAGCGAUGGGUGAAAAUCCUCUCUGAGAGCAGGGCCCAUUCAGGAGAGUCAUAUCACCUAGCUGCUUGGCCAAGUGAAAUAUCACAAUGCACCCUUUGCACAGGGCCAAUACAGGACAGUUACAUCACCAGGGAGCUGGGUCCAGCUAUAUGUCACAAUUCCUUUUGUGGAAAGUGUCCAGGCAGAAAAGCAGAGUCACAUCACCUAGCCAGUGGGCCCAGAGAGAUGCCACAAUGCCAUUUGUAGGCUGGGCCCUGGGAGAAGAAUAACAUCACCCAGUUCUGGGCCCAGCAAUAUGUUGUGAUCCCAACUGGAAAAAGUUUCCAGACAAGAGAGGAGAAUCACAUCAUCAUGAUGAUAAGCCAAGAGAUUUCACAAUCCCCCCCUCUGCACAUGUCCCAGGCAGAAGACCUGAAUUACCUUUUUACUUAGGCCAGUAAUGUCACAGUGCUUCCUCAGGGCAGGGCACAAACAAGAUAGGACAGUCACAUCAUUAAGUGCUAGACUUAAUGCUAGAUAUGUCAUAACCUUACUUGUGGGCAGGAUCCAGGAAGGAGAGAUUUAUGUCACCUAGGUGCUCAGUAAAGAGAUAUAUUACAAUUACAAUUCCUUUGAGGGAAGUGGCCAGGCAAAAUAGUCACAUCACCUAGGUGCUUGGCCCAGGUAUAAGUCACAAGAUAUCUGUGUGUUGAGCCCAGAAGGACUAUCAAAUUACGAAGUUUCUACGUAGAAGUGCAUGUCACAGACACCUGCAGGAAGGCCCAGGAAUGAGACUCCCAAUUCCACACAUUUUCCCACUCCAAGUGUAAGAGUCAACAACUCCUGAGACUUAGGCCCAAGUACAUGAGUCACAAUCUCAACAGUGGAUUGCAUCCUGCCAUGAGAGCCCCAAUCCCUUCUCUAAGCUGUGUUCCAGUAGAGGAGUCACAACAUCAAUGGUGUGCUGAAUCCUGGUUGGAGAGUUCCCACUUCACCUGUGGACUGGAUCUGUAUAUGAGAGUCUCAAUUCCAGCUCUCAACUGCCCCUGGGUGUGAGAUUCAGGACCUCAAUUGUGAGCUGUGUACACAUGGACAUGUAACAAUUUCUACUUUUGGCUGUGUGUUCAUACAAGACUCAAUCUCAUCUGUGUUCUCGGCCCUGUUAUGACACUCUUUGUACCACCCAUGGGAUUUAUUCAAUACGCAUGGGUGUCAUAAUCCUCUGUGAUCUUCAUACAAGUAGAAGACCCAGGACCUUACCCAUGGCCCUAGGCCUAUCUAUGAGAAUUGACAUUUUUCCUCACAUUUUUAAUUUUAACAAAUAAGUUAUUCUCCUGUCAGUUCAGAUUCAUCAGGACAUUGAAUCAUAUUCAGAAGAAUUAAAACUGAAAGACUAAUAGGUUUGUUAAAGCAAUGCAGGUUGUCAUACUAAUAAACCCUAAAAUUUCAAAGGCUUAGCAAAAUAAUACAUUUUCUGCUUACAUCACCAUCCCCUUUGGCUUAUUUCUGGUUAAGAGAACUUCUUUGUGAUUAUUCGGAGAUUAGAUUUUUUUAAAAUUUCCUAUCUGCACUCUCUCUUUCUUCAGCCAAUAGAUGAAAAAAGAUGCAAAGAAGACACAUUUGCUUUUUAUGCACACAUCACUUCCAGUCACUAUGUUGAGCAGAGUCAGUGUGAGGACAAUUGAGAAUAGCAGUUUUCUGGCAGGACAGCCACUUCUCAGCAGAAGAUGACACAAUAAAAGUAUAAAUCUUUCAUGGGAGGCUCACAUAUUUUCAGCAAAUUAAGCAUAUGCAUGAAUAAAAUUCUUGUGGUAAAAUAAAGAUGCAUUUUGUUGAUUCCUAUGGAGCUCAGGUAAUAUUGGAUAAAAAGCAAAAAAAUUAUUUGAAAUAGUAAUAUUGUGAAUGAAGUUAUUCUG